CCGACCUUAGCUCAGUUGGUAGAGCGGAGGACUGUAGUUGGUCAAACAGAUGGUCGUUAGGUUGCUGGUUCGAAUCCGGCAGGUUGGA
Molecule: transfer RNA, 88 nt
Organism: Beta vulgaris subsp. vulgaris (sugar beet)
Lineage: Eukaryota; Viridiplantae; Streptophyta; Magnoliopsida; Caryophyllales; Amaranthaceae
Rfam family: tRNA
About the family: Transfer RNA (tRNA) molecules are approximately 80 nucleotides in length. Their secondary structure includes four short double-helical elements and three loops (D, anti-codon, and T loops).
Source: Rfam